This 1934-nucleotide long non-coding RNA is filed under the name Pomacea canaliculata. Its description in RNAcentral is "uncharacterized LOC112555194". Lineage: Eukaryota; Metazoa; Mollusca; Gastropoda; Architaenioglossa; Ampullariidae. The record is from RNAcentral.
ACAGACAUUUAACACACACAGUUAGGAGUAAAUCACACAGUUAGGAGUAAAAGGUUAUCAUUCAAUAAAUGUACAGCUAGUUUGUGAUAGCUCAUAAAUAUAAUUAACUGUGUUGUUAAGUAUUCUGGAACUAGUCAUGACACCAGGAUUUUGACGGAGUCAAAGCUGUACCAAGCUUAUGAAGUAUACAUCCUUGAUCAGUCACGUGAUAAACCCAAGAAACAAUUGAACAUGCUGAAAAGACGCCUUCCUUGCCUUUCAAAGAAACAUCAAGGUACAGUCCAAAGAGAGCUAUAGUUAUCAUCAUGGCAUGCAUAGUAUUACACAAGUAUAGUAUGCAUUCUGUAUGAUGAGCAUGAUGAUAAUCAUGAUACUGAACUUUAUGGAGGUCAACCAGCCUUAAGUGCAAGAACAAAGCAAGAGUCCCUUAUUUACAGAUCCUUCUCCUACAGCUUUAAUAUUUGAUGCACAGAGGAACUCUCAUUUCCACAAGUGUUGCAGCAGGGACCAGAUGAUGGAAGUCGCAUGAUUCUUUGUGACACUCUCCCUAUGAGGGAUUAGGAUGAAGAGGGUACCAACUGGGAAAUAGAUGUGCUUCUAGAAAGUGAUUUAAAUUUGUAUGAAACCAGAUAAUUCAAGCAAUUUUCUCUUUGUAUAAUAUUUUUGUACAGUAAAAGAGCUUUUUUCAAUGAAAAUAGUUUUGUCUUAGUUUUAAAUAUCUGUGUGGCUCAGUAAGCACACAUUGUAGGUUUUGGAGCCUACAUGUAUAUACUGUAGUUCUUAGCAUUUACAGGUGUAUACUAUAGAUUUUAGUGUGCCCAUGUUUUUUUCCCCUCUGUUGGACCACCACUUUGCCAUGGCCAAGUGGCAUUCUUGUCUUGAUGACCCCGAGAAGGAGAAGUAUGCCAACAGGAGCACUAGCUCCUGACAUGGUCACCCAUGUUGGAGGGAUCAAAAGUGGUUCACUGGUCCUCUAAGUUAAAGGGGAGGGGCAAUGGACUAACAAUUCAUUCAUAUAAAAGCAUGUGCCUGUGGUUACUGAAACUGGCGACAUUCCAACAAACUGUGGGAGAUGUCUGAGAUGGCAAUUACAAGAUUGCGUACUGAAAAAUAUUUCAUUUAUAAUACAUAAUAUGCAAAAUACAGAUUACAUGAACUACAAUUAUGUUUGUACCUGGAUUCACCUUUUCAACUGAACAAUUUUCAUUAUCACCUGAAUAAAGUAGAGAGGGACCACUUGAACUGCUAUUGAAUAGUCCUGAGCUCAUUUCAAUAGGGGGAGAGAGCAGUAACAUUACAUUUCUCACUUGCUGCUGACCAGAAUGAAAACUAAUACAUAGUGUACGGCAGAAUUUACGUUUAAUGAUUGCAAAAAAACUACAAAAUAAAAGAUUUUAUAUAUAUAUAACAUCUGUCAACUCCUUUUUCAAGACAGCAAUUUAGGAUUCUUGCACUUUCUUUUUUUUUUUUCCUCAUAAAAUAUGUGCAUGUUAACAUGUUAGAAUGUUGGUACCACGCAGCAUAACAGACAUACAUGUUACACUAAAUUCAUCAACCAAUACAUGAAUGCUGACUAACAGUGACAUGAUCUAAUGCACAUUCAGCUAUGAGGACUUAAGAGUGAAAAGUUAACUGAAUCAACACAAAAAAGAACUACAGCUAGUAAGUUUCAACUAAUUACAAUAAUAUAUAUAUAAAGUAAAAUAAAAAUUACAUGAAUAUUUAAGAACUAUUAACAUUGUUCAAAAAAAAAAAUGCCAUGAUUCAUGACACUGGUUAUAAAUAGACAAGAAUGAUCAAUUAACAGAGUGCUUAAAUAUUUUUUAGUAACUGAUGUGUUCAACACCAUUGAAACUUGGAUAAAUAAUGAUAAAAGCAAAAUUUUUAAAGCACAUACCCUCCUAAGGAGCAUGUUCUAAGCGCUUAAGAACAAG